This 137-nucleotide non-coding RNA is filed under the name Deltaproteobacteria bacterium. RNAcentral's name for it is "MoCo sequence". It matches the Rfam family "Molybdenum/Tungsten riboswitch aptamer (Moco RNA motif)". Lineage: Bacteria; Pseudomonadati; Myxococcota; Myxococcia. The record is from RNAcentral.
AAAAAAUGGAUCUUCCGAGCCUUCCGCCUAAGUCCGGUAAGGAAAUGAAAAGGAAAGGAUAAGGAGGGUGGCCGUUACGGCGUGUUUGGAAACGAUCACGCCCCCCGCGCUUGGAAAGGAAGUCCAGGACAAACAAU